Long non-coding RNA from Lathyrus oleraceus (garden pea), 1052 nucleotides. RefSeq lists it as uncharacterized. The transcript is spliced from 2 exons. The record is from RefSeq and is a predicted model, not a curated record. Lineage: Eukaryota; Viridiplantae; Streptophyta; Magnoliopsida; Fabales; Fabaceae.
UGAGCCAAUACUGGCCUGACCCGUGGCACAUGGGAUUCUCCCAUUUUGAAGAAUUACAUGUUUUAGCUUCUCCACUCAGCAAAAGUAAGAACGACUAUCAAUUGAUGAUGCUCUCCAUUCACCAAAGGAGGAUUUUUCUUCCUCCACUCCUUCAAGGACACAGGUCCUAUCUCCUUAAAAAAUAAACUGUUUCUUUUUGCAUUAACGGUGAUCCAAACGAGGCCAAAAGGAAAAAAAAGGAAGAAAUCUUCAUUUGAGGAAAAAAGUCAGUAACACAGAAAAAUGUUUUUCCACUUCUUCACACAUCUAACUUCACUGUUACAACCUUUUAACCCCAUUUUCCGGCGACACCCCUUCCUCCCCUAAACCUUGCACCACCACAUAACUCCACCACCACUUCUUCCUCACCCUUACAACAACACCUCUAUUAUUCUUCGAUGAACCACCACAUAACAACCAUUUCACCUUCGCCGAACUCCCUCGCUGUCGACACACCUUGUCGCGACGUCGCCAACCUUAACCUCUUCUUCUUCUUCACCCACGAAACAACCACAUCACACGGUUUCAGACCAUACUCUAAUACACCCUCAUCUCCGAUACAAACAUAACUCACCCCAAACGUUUCGACAUCAUUCAGCUUUAUCGAUCCAAUUUCGAUCCAUCACCAUCAAUUUCACUUUCACGAUUAAAGUUUGGUGGUUCUGUUUUGAUUUCCUCUCGAUGUCGUGUUGUUGAUUUCCAGUAUCCAAUCAUCGGUUCAACGAUUCAGAUGGAGGUUUUUCAGUAUUGAGUGUUGCCGCUAUUAUGACGUUUGUGUUACUGCUCUGACUUGGGUCAAUCUGAGUCUUCGUUUUGAUUACGAUAAGCUUAGCCCCAUGAGUUACUCAACACCUCUCAUAUGUUAUAAUUCAUGUGACAUUGUAAGUAAAAUAAUUAGAUAUUGAUGUUUUAUUUUUCAUUGCAUGUUAACUCCGAUUUUUGAACAAUGGAUUCGGCAAUUUCAUGCCGAUAUUCCGCCAAAAUAUCAGUAUAUAAACGGAAUAUUUUCACCA